AGAGUUUGAUCCUGGCUCAGGAUGAACGCUGGCGGCAUGCCUAAUACAUGCAAGUCGAACGGGGUGCUUGCACCCAGUGGCGAACGGGUGAGUAACACGUAUCUAAUCUACCUUUUAGUGGGGGAUAACAGUUGGAAACGACUGCUAAUACCGCAUACGACGUCAUUAUCGCAUGAGAAGACGUUAAAAGAUCCGUUUGGAUCGCUAGAAGAUGAGGAUGCGGCGUAUUAGCUAGUAGGUGAGGUAAUGGCUCACCUAGGCGAUGAUACGUAGCCGAACUGAGAGGUUGAUCGGCCACAUUGGGACUGAGAUACGGCCCAGACUCCUACGGGAGGCAGCAGUAGGGAAUUUUUCACAAUGGACGAAAGUCUGAUGAAGCAAUGCCGCGUGAGUGAUGACGGUCUUCGGAUUGUAAAGCUCUGUUGUAAGGGAAGAAAUGGUAGGAUAGGAAAUGAUCCUGCUUUGACGGUACCUUACCAGAAAGCCACGGCUAACUAUGUGCCAGCAGCCGCGGUAAUACAUAGGUGGCAAGCGUUAUCCGGAUUUAUUGGGCGUACAGGGUGCGUAGGUGGUUCGAUAAGUUUAGGGUUAAAUCCCGGGGCUCAACCCCGGUUCGCCUUGAAACUGUCGUACUAGAAUACAGAAGAGGUAGAAUGGAAUUCC
Molecule: ribosomal RNA, 663 nt
Filed under: uncultured bacterium
Lineage: Bacteria
Description: bacterial SSU rRNA
Rfam family: Bacterial small subunit ribosomal RNA
Source: RNAcentral